AUUGAACGCUGGCGGCAGGCCUAACACAUGCAAGUCGAACGAGUGGCGGACUGUUGAGUAAUGUCGGGGAAACUGCCUGAUGUACCCGGCUAACUACUGUAAACGGUAGCUAAUACCGCUUACCAUUGGAUGUGCCCUGAUGGGAUUAGCUAGUGGGUGGGGUAACGGCUAACCUAGGCGACGAUCCCUAGCUGGUCUGAGAGGAUGACCGGCCACACUGGAACUGAGACACGGUCCAGACUCAUACGGGAGGCAGCAGUGGGGAAUAUUGCACAAUGGGCGCAAGCCUGAUAGAGCCACGCCGCGUGUAUGAAGAAGGCCUUCGGAUUGUAAAGUACUUUCGGCGGGGAGGCGUUACCCGAAGAAGAAGCACCGGCUAACUCCGUGCCAGCAGCCGCGGUAAUUC
This 406-nucleotide ribosomal RNA is filed under the name uncultured bacterium. RNAcentral's name for it is "partial 16S ribosomal RNA". It matches the Rfam family "Bacterial small subunit ribosomal RNA", at positions 30 to 526 of the family's 1533-position model. The record is from RNAcentral.